GAUGAACGCUGGCGGCGUGCUUAAUACAUGCAAGUCGAACGGAAAGGCCUCUUCGGAGGUACUCGAGUGGCGGACGGCUGAGUAACGCGUAGGAAUGUACCCCAAAGUGAGGAAUAACCUCGAGAAAUCGAGGCUAAUACCGCAUGUGCUCUAAGGAGUAAAGCUUCGGCGCUUUGGGAACAGCCUGCGUAAGAUUAGCUUGUUGGUGAGGUAAUGGCUCACCAAGGCGACGAUCUUUAGCUGGUCUGAGAGGAUGAUCAGCCAGACUGGGACUGAGACACGGCCCAGACUCCUACGGGAGGCAGCAGUAGGGAAUGUUCCACAAUGGACGAAAGUCUGAUGGAGCAACGCCGCGUGCAGGAUGAAGGCCCUUGGGUUGUAAACUGCUUUUAUAUGUGAAGAUAAUGACGGUAGCAUAUGAAUAAGGAUCGGCUAACUCCGUGCCAGCCGCCGCAGUAA
Molecule: ribosomal RNA, 459 nt
Filed under: uncultured bacterium
Lineage: Bacteria
Description: partial 16S ribosomal RNA
Rfam family: Bacterial small subunit ribosomal RNA
Source: RNAcentral